AGUGAAUGCUGGCGGUAGGCCUAACACAUGCAAGUCGAACGGCAGCACAGUAAGAGCUUGCUCUUACGGGUGGCGAGUGGCGGACGGGUGAGGAAUACAUCGGAAUCUACUUUUUCGUGGGGGAUAACGUAGGGAAACUUACGCUAAUACCGCAUACGACCUACGGGUGAAAGCAGGGGAUCUUCGGACCUUGCGCGAUUGAAUGAGCCGAUGUCGGAUUAGCUAGUUGGCGGGGUAAAGGCCCACCAAGGCGACGAUCCGUAGCUGGUCUGAGAGGAUGAUCAGCCACACUGGAACUGAGACACGGUCCGGACUCCUACGGGAGGCAGCAGUGGGGAAUAUUGGACAAUGGGCGCAAGCCUGAUCCAGCCAUACCGCGUGGGUGAAGAAGGCCUUCGGGUUGUAAAGCCCUUUUGUUGGGAAAGAAAAGCAGCAGGUUAAUACCCCGCUGUUCUGACGGUACCCAAAGAAUAAGCACCGGCUAACUUCGUG
This 492-nucleotide ribosomal RNA is filed under the name uncultured bacterium. RNAcentral describes it as "partial 16S ribosomal RNA". It matches the Rfam family "Bacterial small subunit ribosomal RNA", at positions 29 to 507 of the family's 1533-position model. The record is from RNAcentral.